GAUCCCGCCUUGCAUCAACUGAAU
RNAcentral lists this non-coding RNA (24 nucleotides) under Arabidopsis thaliana (thale cress). RNAcentral also lists the same sequence under 2 other names. The record is from RNAcentral. Lineage: Eukaryota; Viridiplantae; Streptophyta; Magnoliopsida; Brassicales; Brassicaceae.